AGGAGACAUGCAGGAUCUGAUUGGGAAUUAUUGCUUUUUUUGGCAAUUGGUCAGAUCCAGGUUGGAAGAUAAAUGGAGAGGAAUAUCAGCUGCGAGACAGGUGCAGAUUCCCAAAAGUCUUCAUCAGUUAUACAUGAGAAAGAGAAAAUCAGACAGACAGAGGGGUGCUGACAAAAGACCAAAUAAAUGUCAGUGCUGUCAGCCUGGCUUGACAUGAGGGAAGUGUCAUUUCUUGGAAGACAGGAUUAGGAAG
Long non-coding RNA from Mauremys reevesii (Reeves's turtle), 253 nucleotides. RefSeq lists it as uncharacterized. The record is from RefSeq and is a predicted model, not a curated record. Lineage: Eukaryota; Metazoa; Chordata; Testudines; Geoemydidae. The transcript is spliced from 3 exons.